RNAcentral lists this ribosomal RNA (507 nucleotides) under uncultured bacterium. RNAcentral's name for it is "bacterial SSU rRNA". It matches the Rfam family "Bacterial small subunit ribosomal RNA", at positions 1 to 526 of the family's 1533-position model. The record is from RNAcentral.
UAGAGUUUGAUCAUGGCUCAGAUUGAACGCUGGCGGCAUGCUUUACACAUGCAAGUCGAGCGGCAGCGCGGGGGCGACCCUGGCGGCGAGCGGCGAACGGGUGAGUAACACAUCGGAACGUAUCCCGUAGAGGGGGAUAGCCCGGCGAAAGCCGGAUUAAUACCGCAUAUGCUCUACGGAGGAAAGUGGGGGACCUGCAAGGGCCUCACGCUAUGGGAGCGGCCGAUGGCCGAUUAGCUAGUUGGUGGGGUAAAGGCCUACCAAGGCGACGAUCGGUAGCUGGUCUGAGAGGAUGAUCAGCCACACUGGGACUGAGACACGGCCCAGACUCCUACGGGAGGCAGCAGUGAGGGAUAUUGCACAAUGGGCGCAAGCCUGAUGCAGCGACGCCGCGUGGAUGAAGAAGGCUUUCGGGUCGUAAAAUCCUUUUGCGCGUGACGAGAAACAGGACGGUAGCGCGCGAAUAAGUCUCGGCUAACUACGUGCCAGCAGCCGCGGUAAUCGCCC